Long non-coding RNA from Solanum pennellii, 1226 nucleotides. RefSeq lists it as uncharacterized. Lineage: Eukaryota; Viridiplantae; Streptophyta; Magnoliopsida; Solanales; Solanaceae. The record is from RefSeq and is a predicted model, not a curated record. The transcript is spliced from 3 exons.
UGUCAGGUAUGCUCUUUUAACCACAAACCAAGUAAAGCAUUUUACCUUAUUUGGGGAUGGACUAUUCCAUAGGUUUCUGCAUAUUUUUGGUUGCCCUCUACACUGUACCCUUUCUUCCAUUUUUAAACCCUUUUAAUAAAAAAUUGCCCAUCAAUAUUGUGUUUCCAUCUUAAUGUAUCUGGUUCAGCAGUAGUGCCAUUGAAAUCAUCAACCCUAUUUAGCAAAUCGGCUACUCUAUCGAUCUAGCAGUCAUUUAGCAAUCUCAUGAAGAAUAGGUAUCCCUGUGCACUCUACAUAUCAUAUUUACAGAAUGUUUGGAGAGUGCUUUUUAUGAUUUGGCAUAAUUUUGGGUCUACUUUUGACAUUAGUACCAGAUCGUCAGCGAAGAAAAGGAUUGGUGUUCCAUACAAAGGAUGAGGAUGUAGGGUGACAUUGGGUCUGUUGACGUAUACCUCUCGAUAGUUCACAAAAUUCUUUCUAGCUCCAUUUACUAGUAUUGCUAUUUUUCUUGUGGAGAUACAAGACAUGAUGAUAUUAGUGAUCUUGGGAGAAGAGUUGAAGAUUGUUGAAUGACCAUUCUAUUUUGUCAAAGGCUUUUUCUAAAUCUAUUUUCAUUGUCAAGUUCCCCUUUUACCAUCAUUCUCUUAAAGUACUUAAUUAGUUCCUGUAUUAUCAUAGCAUUAUCAGUUGCCUGUCUAUUCAUUAAGAAGAUAGCUUGGUUUGGACCAAUAAGAUUAUUCUUUAAGGGUCGGAUUUUUUUGGUUAUGAUUUUAUAAGUAGUGUUACAAUGGCUUGUGGUCUAAAAUUUUUAAGGGAUGACGCGUUUUUGUUUUUUGGUAUCAAACAAACUUGUGUUGUUGAUUUCAGGAUCGAUGGUUCCCUUGGUCCAAAUGUCUUAACAAAUGGAUACUACAGAGAAGCCCACGUUCCCCCGGUAGUUUUGGUAGAAGAAGGGAUGAAUUCCAUCUGGUCCAGGAGCUAUAUUUUGGUUGAAGGAUUUAACGACAUUCCAGAUUUCUUCUGUCAUUAUUCCCUAUCUAAUAACGAGAAUUCGUUACUUGAGGGGGGUAUUAUGAGUGUAGUUAUCACUUUUGGGAGACAUUUGGUGGCUAGUUUGGAAUGAUUUUUGAAGUAUAAAGUUGUUUGUUACAUUAUGUCUUCAUUAUCAUAAUCCCAGUUCCCAAAGUCUAGUUGUAGGGCGUUUAUUCUGUUUCUUGUUUUCCUAU